CAGUCGCCACGGUAAUACGUAGGGUGCAAGCGUUAAUCGGAAUUACUGGGCGUAAAGCGUGCGCAGGCGGUUCUAUAAGACAGAUGUGAAAUCCCCGGGCUCAACCUGGGAACUGCAUUUGUGACUGUAGAGCUGGAGUGCGGCAGAGGGGGAUGGAAUUCCGCGUGUAGCAGUGAAAUGCGUAGAUAUGCGGAGGAACACCGAUGGCGAAGGCAAUCCCCUGGGCCUGCACUGACGCUCAUGCACGAAAGCGUGGGGAGCAAACAGGAUUAGAUACCCGGGUAGUCCCUGUCUCUUAUAA
This 301-nucleotide ribosomal RNA is filed under the name uncultured bacterium. RNAcentral's name for it is "partial 16S ribosomal RNA". It matches the Rfam family "Bacterial small subunit ribosomal RNA", at positions 509 to 809 of the family's 1533-position model. The record is from RNAcentral.